Molecule: small nucleolar RNA, 125 nt
Filed under: Microcebus murinus (gray mouse lemur)
Lineage: Eukaryota; Metazoa; Chordata; Mammalia; Primates; Cheirogaleidae
Source: RNAcentral
UUCCAAAGUGUUGAGUUCAGGGAAGCUUCCCUAUUAUGUUAAUCAAACUUUGGGACAUUGACAUGGGCUAGGGGAGAUGACUGGAUAGAAAGCAUUAUUCUGGCCGGGCACAGUGGCUCACACCU